UGUGUAGGCGGUGUUCCAAGUCUGGUGUGAAAUCUCCCGGCUUAACUGGGAGGGUGCGCCGGAAACUGGAAUGCUCGAGGGUGGGAGAGGUAAGCGGAAUUCCUGGUGUAGCGGUGAAAUGCGUAGAUAUCAGGAGGAACACCUGUGGUGUAGACAGCUUACUGGACCACUUCUGACGCUGAGACACGAAAGCGUGGGUAGCAAACA
This 207-nucleotide ribosomal RNA is filed under the name uncultured bacterium. RNAcentral's name for it is "partial 16S ribosomal RNA". It matches the Rfam family "Bacterial small subunit ribosomal RNA", at positions 568 to 774 of the family's 1533-position model. The record is from RNAcentral.